UGUUAUUCUAUUUAAUUACAGCUGCAUAGCUCCGAAAUUGUUCAAUAUAAAACCGUGGUAAUGUUACACAAUGUGCUGUUAUGCAACCAUAAGUUUGUUACAAUGUGGACAAUUUAAAGAUUUAUGGUAACAAGUUUCACCGAGCUCGCUAACUAGGGUACCUAUUGUAACUUGUGAGUACUUGGGACAGUGUUUGAGUGAGUGUCCAUGUGCUUGCGCAGGUGCCUGAGAGCUGUGACUGCGCCAAGGGCUAAAAUAUUGUGUGUUGUUUCUUCGUAUGCAGGUAUGUCUUUUAUUUUGUCCGAAUUAUGUUCUGUAUCAUUUUACUUGUAUUGUAUGCUGUUGUGCACUGAAUGUGUGCACGCAGCACCUGUUAAUUCUUUUUGACGCUCUCUUUUGCCUGACCUUCAGCUAGCAAGUUGCCUGAGAGCUGUGACUGCGCCAAGGGCUAAAAUAUUGUGUGUUGUUUCUUCGUGUGCGGGGCAAAUAAAAAUUAUUCAACCAGCAGACCUCCAGUUGUGGCAGUGUCCUAAUUAAAAAGUACACAACGCAGAACGAACCACGCUACACCAACAUACAGACUCUGGACACCUAAAUAAAUGGACUUAACAAAGGACCAACAAAAAAGACAUGCUUGGGUCUCCUGAGUGGUGCAGCGGACUAAGGCACUGCAUCUCAGUGCUCAAGGCAUCACUACAGACCCUGGUUCGUUUCCAGGCUGUAUCACAACCGGCCGUGAUUGGGAGUCCCAUAGGGCAGCGCACAAUUGACCCAGCGUCGUCCGGGUUAGGGUUUGUCGUCAUUGUAAAUAAGAAUGUUCUUAACUGACUUGCCUAGUUAAAUAAAGGUUAAAUAAAAAAAUUGAUAAAAAACAUGCAAACAAAAGACGACGUGUCUAACUUGCACCGUUAUGCAAUUAUUAGGAGACGAGAUGCACUGCUGCUGCUACAUUGACCCCCCCCCCCCCCCUCCAUUUGUUUUGUACAAUGCUGUUUAUUAUCUAUGUAUAGU
RNAcentral lists this long non-coding RNA (1011 nucleotides) under Salmo salar (Atlantic salmon). RNAcentral describes it as "lncRNA (ENSSSAG00000121886.1)". Lineage: Eukaryota; Metazoa; Chordata; Actinopteri; Salmoniformes; Salmonidae. The record is from RNAcentral.